CAAGCAGAGACAGCCUGCUGCGGCCCCCGCAGGGCCCACAGACACCCCCGAAGACAAAUACUCCGAGCUGCUGGCUCCGCACACCUAUGAAGAGACAGGCCACCUCGCUGCCCAGUCCUCCCAGUGCAGCUCAGUGUACUCCCAACCCGACCUCCCCAUCCCCUUCUACGCAGUGGGGAGAAACGUCCCGCAGCCUGAUCAGGGCUCUGCCAGGAGUGAUCAGUCUCUGUAUUCUGAAGUGGACCUGCAGGUAAGCAGAGCCAGGACUGGGGGAUCGCACUCUGUUACCCCCCCGCUUCCCAUUCCCAGUAUCCCCGCCUUCUCUCAGACUGGGAGACCCCCCCUCUGUGUGGGGAGCCCCUCCAGCUCGGGCUUCACCCCGCAGCCUCUCCCUCCAAGACAGAGUGCGCCCCCCUGCACCGAGAGGAGGCCCUGGGACCCCGAAGAGGUCGUUUACGAGCAAAUCGGAGAGAGGCUGCCUGCACGACCCCCCCUGCCCCGGAGGUACUGACCCAGCCCGCG
This is a long non-coding RNA of Acipenser ruthenus (sterlet), 522 nucleotides long. RefSeq lists it as uncharacterized. Lineage: Eukaryota; Metazoa; Chordata; Actinopteri; Acipenseriformes; Acipenseridae. The record is from RefSeq and is a predicted model, not a curated record. The transcript has 3 exons.